Molecule: long non-coding RNA, 515 nt
Organism: Cololabis saira (Pacific saury)
Lineage: Eukaryota; Metazoa; Chordata; Actinopteri; Beloniformes; Belonidae
Exons: 3
Source: RefSeq, a predicted model, not a curated record
UUUUGAUCUGUGACCUGAAGAAAACUGACAGUGGAAAAUAUUCAUUCAGAUUUCAUGGAAUAAAUAAACAAUGGGUGACAAAUCCUGAGACCAAGCUGACGGUUGUGGAAAAUCCUUGCCCGAUCACAUUUAAAGGUCCACAAGUCGUGAAGGAGAAUGAGAUGGUAACGCUGACAUGCUCCACGCUAAGUUCAUGUCCUUCAUACCCACAAAUUGACCCCUUUUGCACGAUGGCCCGUAACACAACUCUCAUGGUCUCUCAACACCGAGUCGCCUAAAAGCAUCACAAGGAGUUUCCGUGCCAGCUGGAAGGAUGACGGGAUUGGGUUUUCCUGCCAGCCAGCAGAUAAAAAGAACAAAUACUUGAUCAGGAAUAUCAACCUGGCUGUCGAAUAUGCUCCUAAAGAAACGGAGGCUAGGAUAAGCUCUGACCAUGUGAGGAAAGGACACUUUGUGACUCUCACCUGCUCUGCCAAAGGACGACCAUCCGUCAGCUUUAGUUGGUUCAAAAAUGA